Dromaius novaehollandiae (emu) is the source of this 462-nucleotide long non-coding RNA. RefSeq lists it as uncharacterized. The transcript has 3 exons. NCBI's taxonomy places the organism in Eukaryota, Metazoa, Chordata, Aves, Casuariiformes, Dromaiidae. The record is from RefSeq and is a predicted model, not a curated record.
UCAGCGAACAUCUUGCAUGAGCCCAGUUUGGCAUGCUCAGGAGGGCCAAAUGUAUAUCUGCGUUUUUGACUGCAUACUGCAUCCCCCCUGACAUAUCUUGAGAUGUUCAUAUCAUUGAUUUACUGCAGGGGGAGAGAGGCUGGGAUAUAAAGGCAUCUCUUGUCGGUCUUGGAGAAGCAUUUAUGCAGGCCUCAUGACUUUAAAAGGAUUUGUGACAAGCCAUGAGUCUUGAGAAAAUAAACCAUGAUGAAUUCCCAUCCAUAAAGACCAUUCUGAAGGGACUCUAUUGUGGGGCCAGUGCUGAUCCAGAGCUUUGCUUUGGAAGAUGAACUCUCAUCUGUGAGCUAUAGCUAAGACUCUGCUGGAAGACCGUUGCAGCAGAUUUUCCUGGAGAAAUGUUGGGCAGAGAUGCCUCCAGAGGAGAUCAUGCUGGGGACUGGAAGUCAGCUGGCAAAGUGACAC